CAGCAGCCGCGGUAAUACAGAGGAUGCAAGCGUUAUUCGGAAUGAUUGGGCGUAAAGCGUCUGUAGGUAGCUUUUCAAGUCUGCCGUCAAAUCCCUGGGCUCAACCUUGGACAGGCAGUGGAAACUACCAAGCUGGAGUAUGGUAGGGGCAGAGGGAAUUUCCAGUGGAGCGGUGAAAUGCGUUGAGAUCGGAAAGAACACCAACGGCGAAAGCACUCUGCUGGGCCGACACUAACACUGAGAGACGAAAGCUAGGGGAGCAAAUGGGAUUAGAUACCCCCGUAGUCCCUGUCUCUUAUAC
RNAcentral lists this ribosomal RNA (301 nucleotides) under uncultured bacterium. Its description in RNAcentral is "partial 16S ribosomal RNA". It matches the Rfam family "Bacterial small subunit ribosomal RNA", at positions 509 to 807 of the family's 1533-position model. The record is from RNAcentral.